UAUGUAUUGUAUAAUUAAGUCUAACAAAAAUGCAGAUUAGAAAACCCGUUUCCCUCCUCCUUCGCUUCUUCCCUGCAUUUUCCCUUUCCUUUCAAUCAACCCUUAUGAACCCUAAUCACCGAUUCAAAUCGUUAACGCAAGCCUACUUUUACAUUGUGAUCCUUAAUUGCAGUUGGAUUCAGUCAAAUAGUAACCCUAAUUUUGAAAUCCCAAAUCAAAUAUAUAAACCCUAAUUUCGAAAUCCCAAUUCAAAAAUAUAAACCCUAAUUUUGAAGUUGAAAAUUACUGGUGUGACUCCAUAGUUUCUUCAUUCAGGAUAGAAUGGAAGAACUGCCAUUUUCUAUUUACUACCACCAUGGUGGUAGAUUCUUAGAUUUGGUGGGGAAUAUAUCUACUACGGUGGGGAAUUAAAACCAGACCACUUCUAUUGUCCCGAUAGAAUUCAAUACUCUGUCAUACUUAUGUUUGCUGAGGGGUUAGGAAAUGCUAUAGGUCAAGGUCGGAGGCGUUAGAAAUAUUAAGGGGAUCGGUGUUUGAACGUUAUGCAAUGUUAAGGUCAUACAAAGCGGAGCUUACGAGAGUUGACUGUUUUGGAAAAUUUGACUUCUUGAUUAAUGAGUCAGACGGUACAUUUGAAGGUUUUUGCAUUGGAUUUGGUGCUUUAAGGGAAGGGUUCAAGAAAGGAUGUAGGUUAAUGCUAGGGUUAGACGGGUGUUUUUUAAAAACAUAUUUGGGUUGAGCAUUAUUCAGUGCAGUUAUGAAAGACGGGAACAAUCAAAUGUAUCCUGUCUUUUAGGCCGUGGUUCAAAGCAAAAAUGAAAGGUUUUGGACUUGGUUUAUGCGGAUUGUGUUUGAGGAGCUUAAUGUUGUCGAUGGUUUAGGAUGGACAUUCAUUAGUGAUCAACAAAAGAUAUGUUUCUCCUGAUUAUGCAAGCACGGGAAUGCUUAAUGAAGGGAGUGAUGUUUAUAGUUUUGAAGUGCUCCUCAUGGACAUGAUUACAGGAAGUAGCCCAAUUGAACAUUCCAGACCAGUUGGAGAGGAACUUAGAUCAGCGAAAGAUAAAGAUCAUCCCUUGUCUGAUGCACCGGCGUCCAACAAAGUACCACGCCCGAUCAAACCGAUGAUAAUUGUUAUCGCGAGAUUAGUGGAUCCUCUUCAAAUUAUUUUGUAGCAUAAUUUUUAAAUUAGUACACUGAGAAAUCACUCCCAUUCAAUAUGCAUAUAUUAGUUUGUUUUCACACCUUGGAUACUAUACAUUUUGCUCAUACAUUACAGUUCUGUAAAUAUGAUUUCACAUAGUCAGAUAUAUGUGAUCUCUCAGCCUGCUUUACUCUUUGGUAAUAUUGAUUGCAUAAUGCUAUCUAAAAUUUUCCUGAUUCAA
Long non-coding RNA from Mercurialis annua (annual mercury), 1382 nucleotides. RefSeq lists it as uncharacterized. The record is from RefSeq and is a predicted model, not a curated record. The transcript is spliced from 4 exons. Lineage: Eukaryota; Viridiplantae; Streptophyta; Magnoliopsida; Malpighiales; Euphorbiaceae.